UUUUCCUCUCCUUAGAUAUACUGUGUGCAGCAUGUGGCUUUAUUUGAUGAAAAAGCUAUGUGGAUAUAAAUAAGAAGUGUCCUCAUGUGGUAUUAGACCAAGUACUAUAUACAAUUAAUGAACUGGACAAGAUUUCUCUAAGCUUUGUUCCUGCUGCUCUUAUAAAUCAAUUUCAUGUCUUCUUCAGUAAUGUUUUUCAUUUCUUCUUUCACAUAUAAUUAUUUCUCCUAACAAACAAUUAGGAUUAUUUCAAUUUUAGACCAAAAUAUAGAUAUUAUAAAGGGGAGAAAGGUGUAAGAUAAAGCAGAACAGAAGUUUUUUUGGUUAGGCUUUGGGGAAACAUAUAUAGACAUUUGAGUCAGAAACAGUAGUUUUUGUUUUUGUUUUUGUUUUUGUUUUUUUUUAAGCCACCCUGCAGCAUAUGGAGUUCCCAGGCCAGGGAUCAGAUCCAAACUGCACUUGUGAAUCUAGCUGAAGCUGCGGCAAUGCUGGAUCCUUAACCCACUGUACCAGGCUGGGGAUUGAACCUGUGUCCCAGUGCUCCCAAGGUGCUGCCAAUCCUUUUGUACCACAGUGGGAACUCCAAAAAAAAUUAGAUUUGUUGAACUAUAUUCUUAGUACAUUUCUAUCUGUUUCACUGGGGAGCACUAAGAUAUGGAUGAAGUGGCUGGAGUUGAGUCAGACUAUCUAUCAUUCCAGAAUCUUCUAGUCCGAAUUUAUCCUGCUUAAGGCUUCAUUAUACAAAACCCCCAUGCCUUUGGAAGGCAGCUUGUAGAAUAUUUCUGUUGUUUACGGAGGAUUUUCCAUUAGUUAUGCUGAAUGAAAAAUAAUUCAUUUAAUUCUGCUUACUCAGGAUUUGAGGCACUGGUUAUGUAAUGGUGUACAUGACUCUUAAGGGGUUUCAUUCUUCUGGAAUAAGAAACAAUCCCUAAUAGGGAAAUUCAACCCCUGAGUCUUGGCUUAUGGAAGGUAUAUUGGCUACCAUGCUAAUAAGGAGCUAUAACUAAAUGCUUCAAAUAUCAGACACCAUGCAAUUUUGUGGCCUGAAAGGAUAGAAAUAGAAGUGAGCCAACAUGAAUACACGUCUAGGAGUGUUCAUAUAAACUAUGGGGAGUAUCCAAAAUAGAACACAAAGUGAAACUUGGUUAUGCCUUCUCCAGACUGAUAGGAAAAUCUCUUUGAGUUGAAAUUUGAUUUUUGCUUAGGACAUAUCUUUCAAACAGCUGUUAUACUGACAGGCGAAGCCACACUAAAUGAAGGAAGUGAUUAAUGGUGGCUCGUAGAGGUGUAGCCUAAAGACACAUGAAAUCACUAAUAUCCCAUGAAAUUCUUCUUUGUGGACACUUUAAAAACGCUUUGCUUUGUCAAAACCAUGAUAGAGAGAUGUAAACAAAGGUGAUAAAGUGCUUUUGUAUGGUUCCCCUGUGAACAUACUUAACAUGUGAACUAGAACACCAUAGAUGCAUGCAGCAAAUGUGUUUAUCUAGGUGCUGAAUGUAUGGAAGUAUCUGAUGUGAGGAUCUUUCUAUUUUUUUUCCUUUUAAUGUUCAAUCAUUUGGUUGGUUUGUAGAUGAGGCCUCUUCGGGCAGAUUAUUAACCACCUAAUGCUCAGUUCCCUAGGAACUUAAUUGUCAGGAGAGUGAAAAUGCACUUAUAAAAAUCCAAGAAACUUAGAGUUCCUGUCAUGGCACAGCAGAAACAAAUCCAUUUAGGAACCAUGAGGUUGCAGGUUCGAUCCCGGGCCUCACUCAGUGGGUUAAGGAUCUGGCGUUGCUGUGAGCUGAGGUGUAGGCCGCAGACGUGGCUCGGAUCUGGCGUUGCUGUGGCUCUGGCGUAGGCUGGCAGCUAUAGCUCCAAUUAGACCCCUAGCCUGGGAACCUCCAUAUGCCAUGGGCGUGGCCCUAAAAAGACAAAAAAAAGACCCCCCCUCCCAAAAGAAAUCAAGAAACUUGACAAGAUGAGAUACUAGCAAAGGCUUCUGGCUCACUCCUACAAAAUGUACCUCGGAGAAUCCAUGGAAGGGAGGGGAAAUAUGUAAUUCAACCAUGAUUAACAAACUUUCUUUUUUCUUAUACCCACUGAUAGAAUUUUUCCUUGCAAAACAUUUGGUUCUGUCUAAAAUGACCAUGAUAACAUUUGGUCCAUGAGACAGUUGGUCCAAGCUAGAAGGUCUUUGAUAUUUGGUCAUAUUUGGUCCUGCCCAAAACAUCCAUGGACACAUUUGGUCCACACCAAAAGGUCCUUAAUAAUCAAGUCCUACCUAAAACCUCAUGGACUGGACCAAAUGUCUGCUAGCUGAAUUUUUAAAUAUGAUAUACCCUCUCAUGUACUGUAAGUUGAUAGUUUAUGAGUUUAUAAGAGUUGUGAAAAAGUUUAAUUCUUAGUAUAAUGUAAUAUUUACAAUAAAACUGCUGUCAUGGUUCUAAAUGGGAUUCAAUGGAAUCUAAAUGCCCUUUAUAGGGGAGCUCAAUAUAUAAUAAAGGGGAGACCAUUACUCAUGGGUAAUGGAGGAUUGUUUAGCAAAUGAUAUUAGGAAAAUAAGCUUAUUAUGUGCAGGAAAAUAGAGCUGAUUUCUUAUCUGCCGCCAUAUAUAUUGUAGGACUCUGGGUGAAAUAAUGACCUAAUGUGAAAGGUAAUACUACAAAGUUAAUAGAAGAAUUUACAGGUUAAGCUUAUUAUCUAGGCUUAGAGGAGGACUUUGCUGUGGACUAAAUGUCUGCGUCUCCUCAAAUUCCGUAUGUUGAAGCCUAAUCCCCAAAGUGAUGAUAUCUGGAGGUGGGUUCUUUGGAAGAUGAUUAGCUCAUGAGGGUGGAUCCCUCAUGAAUGGAAUUAGUGCUCUUUAAAAUGAAGGAUUUCUCUUUAACCAAGGAUGCCAUGGGCAGUAUUAACAGAAACAUGACAGAAUGAGUCAAUAAUUACAAUGUCAAAACAAAGAUGAAUAUAUAAGUUAUUCCAGGAACUCUUCCAAACCAACAAGAAUACAAAACAGUAACCUUGAUUGAAAGAUUAGCAAAGGACAUGAACCUCCUUUCUACAGAAGUGGAAACCCAAAGGCUAAUAAGACUAUGAAAAGAGAAAUGAAAAUUUAAAAACAAUGAUAUAUUUUUCUUCUGUUAGACUAAUUAUAGAGUGUGAUUAUACCAAGUAUUUGUGGGAAUGUCAGAGGAACCACUGUGUCCUGCUGGUGGGUGUCUAGACCAGUGCAGUCAUUCUGAAAAGCAAACUGCUGGCAUUUAAUCGAAGUACAAUGGAGGUACACGUGGUUGAAGACCCAAUAGUCUUGCUGAAUAUCCCAAAGAGAUUUGCACACAGGUCCAUGCGUGGACAUAUACAAACAAAUGUGUUUGUUGCCAUUUUCAUAUUAUUUUUUGCUGUGGGAGGGAUUUGAAUAUAAUCUUAUUCAUUACAGUGGAUGUGCCAGAGAGACAGAUGGAUUGUCUGUCUACAUAGAGCAAAAUGCUGAAUGAAAAUACUAAUAAAGAAGAUGAGAUCUAUUAACUCAAUACCAUUUACAUAAAUUUAAAAAUACGUGAUGUUGGAAUUCCCAUUGUGGCUCAGUGGGUUACGAACCCGACUAGUAUCCAUGAGGAUGGGGGUUCGAUUCCUGGCCUUGUUCAGUGGGUUAAGGACCAGCAUUGCUGCAAGCUACAGCAUAGGUCAUGAUGUGGCUCGAAUCUGGCAUUGCUGUGGCUGUGGCAUAGGCUGGC
Molecule: long non-coding RNA, 3707 nt
Filed under: Sus scrofa (pig)
Lineage: Eukaryota; Metazoa; Chordata; Mammalia; Artiodactyla; Suidae
Description: lncRNA (ENSSSCG00055025237.1)
Source: RNAcentral